UUUUUGCGAUGGGACUUAAAUCCUAGCAAUAGGGUCAUAGAUUCCUCCUGAAAGCAUAUCCAACAUAACCUAGAAGUAGAGUUUACAUUCCCAAGAACCGUCAACUUGGCACUUCUAGUGGUAAAUCCCUUUGAUCACCGAAAACGUAGAGAUUUUAGAAGUCAUGUGUUCGAUUUGUGUUGGAAGGGGUGAGCUUUCCAAAUGAUGGUUUAGACCUCGCUCUAAGGGAUGUACGAGAUCAC
Molecule: long non-coding RNA, 242 nt
Organism: Arabidopsis thaliana (thale cress)
Lineage: Eukaryota; Viridiplantae; Streptophyta; Magnoliopsida; Brassicales; Brassicaceae
Product: other RNA
Exons: 1
Source: RefSeq